Molecule: long non-coding RNA, 622 nt
Filed under: Nicotiana tabacum (common tobacco)
Lineage: Eukaryota; Viridiplantae; Streptophyta; Magnoliopsida; Solanales; Solanaceae
Description: long non-coding RNA (NTAB_LNC018650)
Source: RNAcentral
GCUUGAAAAUUCAAGAUACAAGUUUAUAACUUAACAUGGAAUUAGAUGGAAUAAUUCAAGACAGACCAAAAAAGAAAUACUGGAAUCUUAGUGAACAAUCGAUCCUCCAAAAAUGCAGGAUCCGACACGCACCCGGAGAGUCCGAGAAACAUAAGUAUUUUUAACUAAAAUAAAAGGAAAAAACAAGAAUUCAUUACUAAAUUUAGUAAACAAAUUGAUAUGUGUAGGAGAAUGAUGAGAAAAAAACACAGUACCGGUGCUUUGUUGGCAGCUCCAAUGGUUGACACUGAGGUAGCCAUUAUCUUGACUACUGAGAUGACAACUUGAUCAAAGAAGCUAAAGACUAAGCUUUCUUGAUUUGCUAAAUAUAUUCAAAAAUUGGUUGAAGAAGAUAGUAUGUGAAGGGAUAAGCUUUAUAGUAGUACUAGUUGUGAGUGUAAGAAAAAUUAUGUGGAUUUGGCUUACGAUUUCUCAACGGCCACAAAUUGAAGAUUGGUUAUCUAGGUGGAGAUUAUGAAGGUGACUUGUAAUUUUUGGCAUGGGCAAUCAAUAUUUUUUUUUUUAUUUUUGCAUUUUUAUUUUUCUUGCUUGGCUAGGUGACUAGAUUGAGUAACAACAAAAU